Molecule: ribosomal RNA, 253 nt
Filed under: uncultured bacterium
Lineage: Bacteria
Description: partial 16S ribosomal RNA
Rfam family: Bacterial small subunit ribosomal RNA
Source: RNAcentral
UACGUAGGGUGCGAGCGUUAAUCGGAAUUACUGGGCGUAAAGCGUGCGCAGGCGGUUCGUUGUGUCCGAUGUGAAAGCCCCGAGCUCAACUUGGGAAUGGCAUUGGAAACUGGCGAGCUGGAGUGUGGCAGAGGGGGGUGGAAUUCCACGUGUAGCAGUGAAAUGUGUAGAGAUGUGGAGGAACACCGAUGGCGAAGGCAGCCCCCUGGGCCAACACUGACGCUCAGGCACGAAAGCGUGGGGAGCAAACAGG